UACGUAGGUGGCGAGCGUUGUCCGGAAUUAUUGGGCGUAAAGAGCUCGUAGGCGGUCUGUCGCGUCGAUCGUGAAAACUUGGGGCUUAACCCUGAGCUUGCGGUCGAUACGGGCAUGACUGGAGUUCGGCAGGGGAGACUGGAAUUCCUGGUGUAGCGGUGAAAUGCGCAGAUAUCAGGAGGAACACCGGUGGCGAAGGCGGUGAUCUGGGCCGGCACUGACGCUGCGGAGCGAAAGCGUGGGUAGCAAACAGG
RNAcentral lists this ribosomal RNA (254 nucleotides) under uncultured bacterium. RNAcentral's name for it is "partial 16S ribosomal RNA". It matches the Rfam family "Bacterial small subunit ribosomal RNA", at positions 524 to 776 of the family's 1533-position model. The record is from RNAcentral.